This 1329-nucleotide long non-coding RNA is filed under the name Vigna radiata. RNAcentral's name for it is "long non-coding RNA (VRAD_LNC003178)". Lineage: Eukaryota; Viridiplantae; Streptophyta; Magnoliopsida; Fabales; Fabaceae. The record is from RNAcentral.
UUACAAUAUAAUAUGUAUACGUAUAUACAUAUAUCAUUGUUGCUCUAAAUACAUAUAAAACUUUUGCAUAUCUAUUCAAUCUUACAACAACCCAUAUAAAGCUAGCGCUUCCAAUAUUCUAAUGUUCUCGAUGUCAAGGAUCCAAUCCUUUACAUAGUUCUUUCUAAUUUCACGCAGCUCCUCCUAAAACAAAAUAUAUUUUACUUUAGAUAUAAGUGUGACUAAAGUAUGAAAACUAUGGUUUGGGCAACCCAUGGUGGAGGAAAGACCCAAUGUUGGUGUCAUGACCAAGUUAACAUGGUGUCAACUUUGACCUUUGCUCGUUAUUUUAAUGAUAACUUUUCCCACCGACCUCCAAAUGAUGUGAUUCUUUUUUUAUUAGAAACUAGACUUAAAAAUCUUUCCAAUGACUAUUAAUUUGCAAUUUUUGAACAUCUCAGUAGGUACAGUUUAUUCCUUCAAGUUGAAGCUUUAUAUAUUUCAACCAACUCUGACCUUUGCUGGUUGUUUUGCCCAUAACUUUCUCCACCGAACUCCAAAUGAGUUGAUUCUUGUUUUGUUGGAAUCUAGACUCAAAGACCUUUCAAAUUAUGCAUUGGUAAUCAAGUUUAGGGAUUUUUGGCCAGUGUAAUCGAUUACAAGAACACUGUAAACGUUUACGCGCAUAAAAUUGGGGUUUUGUACAGAAAGUUGUACUGCAGGAGCCAAUUUUUUGUACAUAGGGGACCACUAUGUGAAUUGUCAAAUUUUUUUCAAAGUUUGAAGUGUUUUGUCCUGUUUUUGUUGUUUAGGUGUGUCUUGGGUGUGAUGAAUCACGUUUGGACACCCCAACUUGCAUAUAGGAAGCAAUUGUGUUGACUACAAGUAGUUGGUUGAAGUCCUGAAUCAAGUGCACUAAAAAAUGCACUGGUAAACGUUUACAGGAGGUGUGUAAACGUUUACGGGCACAAAAUUGGGGUUUUGUACAGAAAGUUGUACUGUAGGAGCCAGUUUUUUGUACAUAGGGGACCACUAUGUGAAUUGUCAAAUUUUUUGCAAAGUUUGAAGUGUUUUGUCUUGUUUUUGUUGUUUAUGUGUGUCUUGGGUGUGAUGAAUCACAUUUGGGCACCCAAACUUGCAUAUAGGAAGCAAUCAUUGACUUCAAUUGGACAACUAUUGCGUUUAUUAAAAGGAAUUAUUAAUAUCGCGCUUCAGUUUAUAAAUAAUACACAAACAACAUAAAUAAAUAAACAUUGGAUAUAAUAUUCAUUGCAUAUAAAUCAUAUGUAAUUUGCCAAAAAGUUGAAAUUUGACAUCUUGGUCCCCUGUGUACAAAAAAGUGGUCCCUUG